Molecule: ribosomal RNA, 466 nt
Filed under: uncultured bacterium
Lineage: Bacteria
Description: partial 16S ribosomal RNA
Rfam family: Bacterial small subunit ribosomal RNA
Source: RNAcentral
ACGAACGCUGGCGGCGUGCUUAACCCAUGCAAGUCGAACGGAAAGGCCUCUUUCGGGGGGUACUCGAGUGGCGAACGGGUGAGUAACACGUGAGUAACCUGCCCUUGACUUUGGGAUAACUUCAGGAAACUGGGGCUAAUACCGGAUAGGAGCUCCUGCUGCAUGGUGGGGGUUGGAAAGUUUCGGCGGUUGGGGAUGGACUCGCGGCUUAUCAGCUUGUUGGUGGGGUAGUGGCUUACCAAGGCUUUGACGGGUAGCCGGCCUGAGAGGGUGACCGGCCACAUUGGGACUGAGAUACGGCCCAGACUCCUACGGGAGGCAGCGGUGGGGAAUAUUGCACAAUGGGUGGAAGCCUGAUGCAGCAACGCCGUGUGCGGGAUGACGGCCUUCGGGUUGUAAACCGCUUUCGCUCAUGACGAAGCUUUGUGUGACGGUAGUGGGUAAAGAAGCACCGGCUAACUACGUG